UGCCUGCCCACCCCCAAAUGCCACAUGCUGCCCCUCUACUGCCAGCAAAUCUCUGCACCUAAGCAAGUUGUGCCAAGUCCCGCUUCUGGUACUGCCACCGGCCGACAGUCAAGCAGUUCCACAAUUCCAAGAUCAAGUUCCUGCUGCCCUACCAGGUCCUGUGUCUUCAGCACAAGCCACACUCCAACAUCAAGAGUCCCAACACCUUCU
Molecule: long non-coding RNA, 210 nt
Filed under: Homo sapiens (human)
Lineage: Eukaryota; Metazoa; Chordata; Mammalia; Primates; Hominidae
Description: non-protein coding lnc-MICAL3-4:1
Source: RNAcentral